AAAUUUUGUGAUCGCCAGUCAAGUCGCAAACAAAACACUUCAAAAUGAACUUCAAGAAGCUAGCCUCUUUGUUCGCAGUAGUAGCUCUUUUGGCAGUAGCCAAAGGUUACGACUAUGCCGCGGACGCGACCACAAAGGCCGGUCGCUGAAAUGUGGGUAACCACCAAGUGUCAAAAUGAAUAAAUAAAUGAAAAUGGCACUAA
Hyposmocoma kahamanoa is the source of this 203-nucleotide long non-coding RNA. RefSeq lists it as uncharacterized. Lineage: Eukaryota; Metazoa; Arthropoda; Insecta; Lepidoptera; Cosmopterigidae. The transcript has 2 exons. The record is from RefSeq and is a predicted model, not a curated record.